Molecule: ribosomal RNA, 446 nt
Filed under: Chaetophora sp. ISTLA2
Lineage: Eukaryota; Viridiplantae; Chlorophyta; Chlorophyceae; Chaetophorales; Chaetophoraceae
Description: partial 18S ribosomal RNA
Rfam family: Eukaryotic small subunit ribosomal RNA
Source: RNAcentral
GGGGGAUGUUACGAGGGACAGUCGGGGGGCUUCCGUAUUUCAUUGUCAGAGGUGAAAUUCUUGGAUUUAUGAAAGACGAACAUCUGCGAAAGCGCUAGCCAAGUAUGUCUUCAUUAAUCAAGAACGAAAGUUGGGGGCUCGAAGACGAUUAGAUACCGUCGUAGUCUCAACCAUAAACGAUGCCGACUAGGGAUCGGUGGGAGUUUUUUGAUGACUCCCUGGGCACCUUAAGAAAAAUCCAAGUCCUUGGGUUCCGGGGGGAAUAAGGUCGCAAGGGUGAAACUUAAAGGAAUUGACGGAAGGGCACCACCCGGCGUGGAACCCGCGGCUUAAUUUGACUCCACACGGGAAAACUUACCAAGGCCCGAACUAAUGAGGAAUGACCGAAUGAAAACUCCUUCCUGAAUCCAUGGGUGGUGGUGCAUGGCCCUUCUUAAUUGGUGGGU